UACGUAGGGUGCAAGCGUUGUCCGGAAUUAUUGGGCGUAAAGAGCUCGUAGGCGGUUUGUCGCGUCUGCUGUGAAAACCCGAGGCUCAACCUCGGGCCUGCAGUGGGUACGGGCAGACUAGAGUGCGGUAGGGGAGAUUGGAAUUCCUGGUGUAGCGGUGGAAUGCGCAGAUAUCAGGAGGAACACCAAUGGCGAAGGCAGAUCUCUGGACAGUUACUGACACUGAGGCACGAAGGCCAGGGGAGCAAACGGG
This 253-nucleotide ribosomal RNA is filed under the name uncultured bacterium. RNAcentral's name for it is "partial 16S ribosomal RNA". It matches the Rfam family "Bacterial small subunit ribosomal RNA", at positions 524 to 776 of the family's 1533-position model. The record is from RNAcentral.